RNAcentral lists this long non-coding RNA (722 nucleotides) under Lathyrus oleraceus (garden pea). RNAcentral's name for it is "Pisum sativum (pea) long non-coding RNA (PSAT_LNC019395)". Lineage: Eukaryota; Viridiplantae; Streptophyta; Magnoliopsida; Fabales; Fabaceae. The record is from RNAcentral.
GAGAGAGAGCGAUGGAGAGACGAUCGUGAGCGAUUGGGUUUCUGAGAGAGAGCGAUGAGGAAGGAUUCGUAGCAUUAUGGAGAGACGAUCGUGAGCGAUUGGGUUUCUGAGAGAGAGCGAUGAGGAAGGAUUCGUAGCAUGAGGGAGAUGAGGGAGUGUUACUGUUGAUUCAUUUUCUUUCUUUUAUUUUAUUUCAUUUUUUUUGAAAAAAGAAAUAACGUUUAAACUUCUUAGAUCUUCAUUUAAUAGUAUUUUCAUUUACUAGGGUAUUAAUAUAGCAUUUUAGUAUUCCCAAUCAAUCAGCAUCUAAAACCCAACAGCCAUGCGGCUGGGUUUAACUACCAGUAGACCAAUAGUUUUCUUUUUUAUUUUAGUUUUUAUUUUAAUCUUUUUUUAAUUUACCUUAAUUUAUAUAUUUAAGUUUAGUGUUAAGAUAACAGUUAGUUGGUGAGUAGCCUAGUGGAGAGAGGGUAGUGCCAUAGUCUCAAGAGGAGUGGGUUCGAUACUCGUGGAUAGUAUUUUUAGUAUUUCUUUUUUAGUAUUUCUUUUUAGCAUUUCAUUUUUUAUUUUAGUAUUUUAUUAUCUUUUAGCAUUUUGUUUCUUUUAAUAGUUUUUAUGUCCGUGUUUUUUUUAUUAAAUCCAUCAUGCAUGCAAAACCAUUUUAAAAAAAUCAUACUUUUCUCGAUUUAAUAUCGAGCCCCUUUUUCACACCCUUGUAAGUC